Molecule: long non-coding RNA, 398 nt
Filed under: Homo sapiens (human)
Lineage: Eukaryota; Metazoa; Chordata; Mammalia; Primates; Hominidae
Description: HSALNT0181825
Source: RNAcentral
GUGGGGGACUGUCACUUAUUCAGGGGUGAGUGCGGGGGUGGGGGUUGGGCCCUGUCAUUUACUUAGAGGGUGAAAGUCGGGUACGGGCUGUCACUUACUGAGGACAACCACAAUGAUGAUACUCGCCAGGCUCAGUAGUGCUAUGAUGAUGGGGAUCCCCACCUUUCUGAAGGUCUCCAUGGGGAUACGGGGUUUGCGCAGGGGUUUGACAUCUGCAAGAAAAUGGGAGGCAGAGGGGAAGAGCAUGCAGUCAGCACUUGGUGAUCCCUGAGCCAAACUCCACAGCCUCCUGCCUUCUGGCCGGUGACAGAGAUUACCAUCUGGGGGAAGAGGCAGACACAGAUGCCAGCCCAGCCAGGUGGAAGAUAAUAUAUGUUAUAAUAGAGACAUCUUCAAAG